GAUGAACGCUGGCGGCGUGCCUAAUACAUGCAAGUCGAGCGAACGGACGAGAAGCUUGCUUCUCUGAUGUUAGCGGCGGACGGGUGAGUAACACGUGGAUAACCUACCUAUAAGACUGGGAUAACUUCGUGAAACCGGAGCUAAUACCGGAUAAUAUUUUGAACCGCAUGGUUCAAAAGUGAAAGACGGUCUUGCUGUCACUUAUAGAUGGAUCCGCGCUGCAUUAGCUAGUUGGUAAGGUAACGGCUUACCAAGGCAACGAUGCAUAGCCGACCUGAGAGCGUGGUCGGCCACACUGGAACUGAGACACGGUCCAGACUCCUACGGGAGGCAGCAGUAGGGAAUCUUCCGCAAUGGGCGAAAGCCUAACGGAUCAACGCCGCGUGAGUGAUGAAGGUCUUCGGAUCGUAAAACUCUGUUAUUAGGGAAGAACAUAUGUGUAAGUAACUGUGCACAUCUUGACGGUACCUAAUCAGAAAGCCACGGCUAACUACGUG
This 497-nucleotide ribosomal RNA is filed under the name uncultured bacterium. Its description in RNAcentral is "partial 16S ribosomal RNA". It matches the Rfam family "Bacterial small subunit ribosomal RNA", at positions 28 to 507 of the family's 1533-position model. The record is from RNAcentral.